RNAcentral lists this long non-coding RNA (1225 nucleotides) under Terrapene triunguis (Three-toed box turtle). RNAcentral describes it as "Terrapene carolina triunguis (Three-toed box turtle) lncRNA (ENSTMTG00000020929.1)". Lineage: Eukaryota; Metazoa; Chordata; Testudines; Emydidae. The record is from RNAcentral.
CCUGCAUCUCCCAUCGUGCCACGCGCACAGAAGGUGGAAAGCGGAGGGUGGCGCGGGGCAUGCUGGGCGCUGUAGGUAGAGAACGGCUCCUAGGCGCCUAACAGACUGCGGCUCCCAUCGUUCCUUGCGCGGGACCCCGGGGCCGGGGCGGAGAGGGCAGCGCUGCGGCAGCGGCGAUCGAGGCGGGCGGACUCGAAGCUGAGGAGCCGCUGAGCCUCCCUCCCCAUUGUGUGGAGCCCUAGAGCGGCAGCGGCUCCCCGGUGCCGGCCGCCAUCUUGUGCUGGUGGGAGCCCAGUGAGGCACCCUGAGCCCAGGCCACGAAGGUGGAGUGCGAGUGGGGCCGCCCCUCUCCUCCCAACUGCCUGGGCCCUCUUCCCUCGCCUCAAGGCCCUGCCGCGGCAGAGUAACCUCUGAAUGUAAGGAGGACCCGCCUCGAGAGAGCGGCUUCCCAUCCGCCGCUCCCCCCUGCCACAGGCCUGCCGCCGCACCCGUCUAGAGCCAGCUACACCCCGAUCUGUAGGUGCUGCUAGCAGGAGCACACUCCUCUUCCCCCAAACCCCCUUCACCCAUAGCCUACGUAGGUCCUGCCACCGGAACAGGAGCAGCCCCACAGAGAGGGAAGCCGUGUCCACCCCAGCAGGACGUGCACUGUCCUAGAACUGAUGCCACCAUCCCCUAGAGGAGGCGGGCCCUCCUAACGGAGCCCUGCCCGGACCCCAAGGGCCAGGUCCUUGCCUCUACUCCACCCAGCCUGGAGAGACACUCCUUACCAGCCUAACCUAGGGAGGAGACAUUUUUUCUUGCCCCCAAGCUCGUGCCUCUUCCCCUGAACUAGACAAACAGAUCAGGUGCUGCUGCUAUCCCAGACCUUGAGGAGACGCCCACUGACUCUGAACUGCUGCUCUCUACCACCCACGAGCCCAACGCCCCAGAUCAGGAGAUAGAGACUCAGCCCUGACAAGCUGCUGACACUUCCCGCCCCAUCAGGAGACAGAGAGAAAGAGACCCAUCCAGAGGUGCUGCUCCUGCUCCUCGCACCACCGAUAUCAGGAGAGACAGCUACACAGAGCUACUACAACUGCAAAGACAUGAAGAUCAAGGAUGCCAAGAAACCAUCAUUGGGAGAUGGCAACCGUCAUGGAAGAGGUGAAUUCUUUGUGGAAAUUGUUGCAGAAGAAAUAUUGUCCAUCUGCCUCAGCUGAAGAAGAAACUUUCAGCAAUGGAG